CUGUUAGUCUUUGAGGAAGCCAGUGUUGGUAGGGACAUCUGAGAGUGUCCAUGAAUGCCAACAGCUCUGAUGGAAAAAA
Lemur catta (Ring-tailed lemur) is the source of this 79-nucleotide small nucleolar RNA. RefSeq annotates it as small nucleolar RNA SNORD74. The record is from RefSeq and is a predicted model, not a curated record. Lineage: Eukaryota; Metazoa; Chordata; Mammalia; Primates; Lemuridae. The transcript has a single exon.